UCAUUAACUCAAGUCAGUACAUGCAUAACUAUAGCAGUAUAUAUUUAUAAAGAAAAGAAUGAAAUAGGUUUUCGAUUUUCACAAAAAUAUUAUGAAAUCAGAUCUUAUAUUUUUAAUAUAAAUUUCUUGAAAUAGGGGGGAGGGGGGUUAUAUUGUUUGAUACUGAAUUUCUUUGAAAAAAGAUAAACUGCAUUUAUUAUAUCUCACAUAAUAUUUAUGAAUAAUUUAUAAUAACAUAAGGAUAACACGUAAAGAAAUUUGAAAUAAUUGAUUAUUUACAAAAAUCUCGGUUUUUUUUUUAUUCAUAUUUUCGCGGGAUUUUAACAGGAAGUUAGUUACCCAUACGCAUUACGUAUACUCGGUUUUUUCCUGUUUAAAAGAUAGAAAAACAAAGAACGAGAAACUUGCCGUUUAUCAAGUAUCCUUAUGUAGUUUGUCGAACAAAGCAAUGGCUGAAAUGAAUCUAAGUGGAGCAAAAUAAAAAUUCAGUUUUUGGAAUUCCAAUCUAUAAAAUCAUCAAAGAGGUUAAAUAUACUGCAAACGAAUAAAGAUGUCACUGAGAAACAAAUAUCUGAUAAAGAGUCCUCCUGCUUGAAGUCUGCAGCAGAAAGAACUCGAGGUGGUGGAAGAAAGUUGACAUGCAAAAAGGACAAAAGAGACUAAGAUAACAAAUGAAUUUAAAAAUAAAUCUUGAAUCAAAAGAAAUAUCAUUGUAUUACUAUAGUUAAUGUUGUUAUUCAGUAAAUUUGUAUUCGUGUAA
Mytilus californianus (California mussel) is the source of this 760-nucleotide long non-coding RNA. RefSeq lists it as uncharacterized. The transcript has 3 exons. NCBI's taxonomy places the organism in Eukaryota, Metazoa, Mollusca, Bivalvia, Mytilida, Mytilidae. The record is from RefSeq and is a predicted model, not a curated record.